UACGGAGGGUGCAAGCGUUAUCCGGAUUCACUGGGUUUAAAGGGUGCGUAGGCGGGUAGGUAAGUCAGUGGUGAAAUCUUCGAGCUUAACUCGGAAACUGCCUUUGAUACUAUCUAUCUUGAAUAUUGUGGAGGUAAGCGGAAUAUGUCAUGUAGCGAUGAAAUGCUUAGAUAUGACAUAGAACACCCAUUGCGAAGGCAGCUAACUACGCGAAUAUUGACGCUGAGGCACGAAAGCGUGGGGAUCAAACAGG
RNAcentral lists this ribosomal RNA (253 nucleotides) under uncultured bacterium. Its description in RNAcentral is "partial 16S ribosomal RNA". It matches the Rfam family "Bacterial small subunit ribosomal RNA", at positions 524 to 776 of the family's 1533-position model. The record is from RNAcentral.